Molecule: long non-coding RNA, 279 nt
Filed under: Gossypium barbadense (sea-island cotton)
Lineage: Eukaryota; Viridiplantae; Streptophyta; Magnoliopsida; Malvales; Malvaceae
Description: long non-coding RNA (GBAR_LNC011565)
Source: RNAcentral
UACCGGUAAUAACAUCUGGCGAGGAAGCAUCCUCGCGUGCGCGUAUAGCAUAAGCCCUAGCAGGAGCACGAGCCUCAGAUCUGGUCGUAGCAUCUCUAGAUCCUCUCUGACCACCACUAGCAUUGCCCGUAUUUCUAGAUGGUCUACCUCGAGCAGUGGUAGCACCCGGUUUCCCACUCUAAUUUACAUUCUGUUCAGACAACCUCGGGCAAUCUUUAAUGAAGUGGUCAACUGAUCCGCACUUGUAACAGGAGCGGUCAUGGAAUCUACAACUCCCCG